AAUAGAUACCCUGGUAGUCCACGCCGUAAACGAUGAGUGCUAAGUGUUAGAGGGUUUCCGCCCUUUAGUGCUGCAGCUAACGCAUUAAGCACUCCGCCUGGGGAGUACGGUCGCAAGACUGAAACUCAAAGGAAUUGACGGGGGCCCGCACAAGCGGUGGAGCAUGUGGUUUAAUUCGAAGCAACGCGAAGAACCUUACCAGGUCUUGACAUCCUCUGACACUCCUAGAGAUAGGAUUUUCUCCUUCGGGGGACAGAGUGACAGGUGGUGCAUGGUUGUCGUCAGCUCGUGUCGUGAGAUGUUGGGUUAAGUCCCGCAACGAGUGCAACCCUUGAUCUUAGUUGCCAGCAUUUAGUUGGGCACUCUAAGGUGACUGCCGGUGACAAACCGGAGGAAGGUGGGGAUGACGUCAAAUCAUCAUGCCCCUUAUGACCUGGGCUACACACGUGCUACAAUGGAUGGUACAAAGGGCAGCGAAGCCGCGAGGUGGAGCCAAUCCCAUAAAACCAUUCUCAGUUCGGAUUG
RNAcentral lists this ribosomal RNA (525 nucleotides) under uncultured bacterium. Its description in RNAcentral is "bacterial SSU rRNA". It matches the Rfam family "Bacterial small subunit ribosomal RNA", at positions 777 to 1300 of the family's 1533-position model. The record is from RNAcentral.